RNAcentral lists this ribosomal RNA (712 nucleotides) under uncultured bacterium. RNAcentral describes it as "bacterial SSU rRNA". It matches the Rfam family "Bacterial small subunit ribosomal RNA", at positions 181 to 895 of the family's 1533-position model. The record is from RNAcentral.
AGAGUUUGAUCCUGGCUCUAAUUAAAAUUCAGAUGGUUAAAGAUGGGCAUGCGUCCCAUUAGCUAGUUGGUGAGGUAACGGCUCACCAAGGCCACGAUGGGUAGGGGUUCUGAGAGGAUGAUCCCCCACACUGGUACUGAGACACGGACCAGACUCCUACGGGAGGCAGCAGUAAGGAAUAUUGGUCAAUGGACGCAAGUCUGAACCAGCCAUGCCGCGUGCAGGAAGACGGCCCUAUGGGUUGUAAACUGCUUUUGUACGGGAAGAACUACAUUUACGUGUAAAUGUUUGACGGUACCGUAAGAAUAAGGAUCGGCUAACUCCGUGCCAGCAGCCGCGGUAAUACGGAGGAUCCGAGCGUUAUCCGGAUUUAUUGGGUUUAAAGGGUGCGCAGGCGGGUAUGUAAGUCAGAGGUGAAAUUCCACGGCUCAACUGUGGGACUGCCUUUGAUACUGCAUAUCUAGAGUAUAUUUGGAGUGGGCGGAAUGUAGCAUGUAGCGGUGAAAUGCUUAGAUAUGCUACAGGACACCGAUCGUGAAGACAGCUCACUAAACUAUAACUGACGCUCAGGCACGAAAGCGUGGGGAGCAAACAGGAUUAGAUACCCUGGUAGUCCACGCCGUAAACGAUGAUUACUCGCUGUGGGCGAUACACAGUCAGCGGCUAAGCGAAAGUGAUAAGUAAUCCACCUGGGGAGUACGAUCGCAAGAUG